RNAcentral lists this transfer RNA (72 nucleotides) under Chloroflexota bacterium. Its description in RNAcentral is "Chloroflexi bacterium tRNA-Met". It matches the Rfam family "tRNA". Rfam says of the family: Transfer RNA (tRNA) molecules are approximately 80 nucleotides in length. The record is from RNAcentral. Lineage: Bacteria; Bacillati; Chloroflexota.
UGCGGGGAUGAGCAGUGGCUGCUCGCCGGCCUCAUAACCCGGCUGUAGGCGGUUCGAUUCCGCCCCCCGCUA